CAGUAGCCGCGGUAAUACAGAGGGUGCAAGCGUUAAUCGGAAUUAUUGGGCGUAAAGGGUGCGUAGGUGGUCAUUUAAGUCAGAUGUGAAAUCCCAGGGCUUAACCUUGGAAUUGCAUUUGAUACUGGGUGGCUAGAGUACAGAAGAGGGAAGUGGAAUUUCCGGUGUAGCGGUGAAAUGCGUAGAUAUCGGAAGGAACAUCAGUGGCGAAGGCGACUUCCUGGUCUGUAACUGACACUGAGGCACGAAAGCGUGGGGAGCAAACAGGAUUAGAUACCCCAGUAGUCCCUGUCUCUUAUAC
This 301-nucleotide ribosomal RNA is filed under the name uncultured bacterium. Its description in RNAcentral is "partial 16S ribosomal RNA". It matches the Rfam family "Bacterial small subunit ribosomal RNA", at positions 509 to 807 of the family's 1533-position model. The record is from RNAcentral.